UUGAACGCUGGCGGCAUGCCUUACACAUGCAAGUCGAACGGCAUCGCGGGAAAGCUUGCUUUCCUGGCGGCGAGUGGCGAACGGGUGAGUAACACAUCGGAACGUACCGGCUAGUGGGGGAUAACCCGUCGAAAGACGGGCUAAUACCGCAUACGCUCUUCGGAGGAAAGCAGGGGACCUUUGGGCCUUGCGCUAGCCGAGCGGCCGAUGUCCGAUUAGCUAGUUGGUGGGGUAAAGGCCUACCAAGGCGACGAUCGGUAGCGGGUCUGAGAGGACGAUCCGCCACACUGGGACUGAGACACGGCCCAGACUCCUACGGGAGGCAGCAGUGGGGAAUCUUGGACAAUGGGGGCAACCCUGAUCCAGCAAUGCCGCGUGGGUGAAGAAGGCCUUCGGGUUGUAAAGCCCUUUCGGCAGGGAAGAAAUCAGCGGGGCGAAUAACCCUGCUGGAUGACGGUACCUGCAGAAGAAGCACCGGCUAACUACGUG
This 489-nucleotide ribosomal RNA is filed under the name uncultured bacterium. Its description in RNAcentral is "partial 16S ribosomal RNA". It matches the Rfam family "Bacterial small subunit ribosomal RNA", at positions 29 to 507 of the family's 1533-position model. The record is from RNAcentral.